CCAACUGGUUGCAAUUUUGAUCUGAUUGCAAAUUGAAUGCAAACAAUGAGUAAUAUUAUCCACUUGAAGUAAACCAUAACUUUGAUAAACUUUGUGAAGCAUAUUAAAUUUUGAUGAAUAUCAUUGACUUAUUAUGAGCAUAUGUGGCCAAAUUACUUUUUAGUACAUUGCAAUGGCAAAACAAUAAUUUGCAAGAAAUUUAAGAUAUAAUGACCUACCUCCUCCAAGAGCAAAGCUCCUUAAUGAAAACGCUAACUGAAAACUUCGAAUCAAAGUCUCAUUGCUGGAGUUCUAGAUUACAAAAAUAAAGUUAAUAAGAAAAAAAUAACAUGAAGAAAAGGAAAUCCUACCACAAGGCCAAACCUUCUUCCAAAAGAAUAUCCUCCAACUCAUACAGACAUUGAAUUGUCUUUUAUAUGUAGCUAAUUAGGAAUUUGGGACUUAGUCAAAUAUUUCAAAUAAGCAAAGACAGUGAAUACUAAUGACCUAAUCCAUUCAAAAGAGUAGAAGAAAAUGAUUAACUUCAUCACUUAUAAGACCACUAGGAAAAAGAAAGUAACAGUGACAAUGAAUAUAUAAGUUGAUCCCUACAAAUGCAAGAAAAUGCACUGAAAAGAGAGAGAGAGAGAGAGA
This 633-nucleotide unclassified non-coding RNA is filed under the name Hevea brasiliensis (rubber tree). The record is from RNAcentral. Lineage: Eukaryota; Viridiplantae; Streptophyta; Magnoliopsida; Malpighiales; Euphorbiaceae.